UCGAAGAAUUUGGGGCUCACUUCCUCCUUCCCUCCACCUAAAAAAUUUUGUUUCCCUCCAUUAAAGUUAAAUCGACCGCUAAAGAAAUUUCUCAUCCCUCCAUUGAAAAUUCCCACUCUAAAAUCAUAGUUUGAUUGAUUAUAUUCGUGCUUCCCUCACCUUCAACAAGUUUCAUCAAACCGGCCUCACUGUUCGGACUUCGGGUUAGGGUUUCACCUUCAGUCGGAUUCGCCGAUACCUACAAACAUUCAAUUGAUCUUCAGUUCAUACUAACCGUUCAAGAAUUACAGUUCUCACCAUUGAUCUCCAGUCCAAACCUACUAAUGAUUAAGUUGAUUUGUUCUCCAUCGAAGUUAUCUUCUCAUUUUAUUUUCUCUGCUGCGUUUUUUUAGUAAUGGUGAUGAAUCUGUUAUACAUCUUCUACGGGAAUGUUGUUGGAUUCGAGAUGUCUAGAGUAUGUUUCAAGACUGGUGCGAGCUUGAUCUCUCUGAUAUUAAUUAUGUUGAGCAUCUCCUCUCUGUCUCCCACUCCUUUGCCAAAUCGCCUUCUCAACUAAAGAUGACUCACGCGAUCAUUCUUUCGGCUCUUUGGUCUUUGUGGAAAGCCAGAAACGACUACUCCUUUAACAAUAUUGCUCCAUCUCGGACCCGUAUUUUUGAAGAUAUCAAGGCGAACUCUUUCAUGUGGAUAAAAAACAGGAGAGGGGGUACCUCCUUAAAUUGGUCUUCUUGGUGCAUUUUUCCUUUGAUGUAAUUCUUGUACUUUUAUUUUUUUUUCUAUCGUUCUACUUUUCCCCUACCCGCUGCGGUUUAAUAAAAAUUUCGCAGUUCAAAAAAAAAAAAAAACUUUAAAACUAAUUAAGACUUGUAACAAGUUCCCAUAAUACCCUAAUCGAACUCUAACUAUAAUACCAUAUGGAAAGAAAACGUUUUGAUUCCCAUACUAAAAACUCAAAUCAGCUGAAAUACCAUCCAUCGCUUGAUUGAUUAUUUCUUGGGGAAAAUGACUUGUAAGAGUAACGAAGUAUUAGACUUGUACAAAAAAUACAAUUGAAUUUUUUUUUGUACACAUAUCACCAA
Non-coding RNA from Lactuca sativa (garden lettuce), 1079 nucleotides. The record is from RefSeq and is a predicted model, not a curated record. NCBI's taxonomy places the organism in Eukaryota, Viridiplantae, Streptophyta, Magnoliopsida, Asterales, Asteraceae.